This 490-nucleotide ribosomal RNA is filed under the name uncultured bacterium. Its description in RNAcentral is "partial 16S ribosomal RNA". It matches the Rfam family "Bacterial small subunit ribosomal RNA", at positions 29 to 507 of the family's 1533-position model. The record is from RNAcentral.
AGUGAACGCUGGCGGCAGGCCUAACACAUGCCAGUCGAACGGCAGCACAAGAGAGCUUGCUCUCUGGGUGGCGAGUGGCGGACGGGUGAGGAAUGCAUCGGAAUCUGCCCAUUUGUGGGGGAUAACCUCGGGAAACCGGGACUAAUACCGCAUACGACCUACGGGUGAAAGCAGGGGAUCUUCGGACCUUGCGCAGAUGGAUGAGCCGAUGCCGGAUUAGCUAGUUGGAGGGGUAAAGGCCCACCAAGGCGACGAUCCGUAGCUGGUCUGAGAGGAUGAUCAGCCACACUGGGACUGAGACACGGCCCAGACUCCUAAGGGAGGCAGCAGUGGGGAAUAUUGGACAAUGGGCGCAAGCCUGAUCCAGCCAUGCCGCGUGUGUGAAGAAGGCCUUCGGGUUGUAAAGCACUUUUGUUGGGAAAGAAAAGCAGCCGGUUAAUACCCGGUUGUCAUGACGGUACCCAAAGAAUAAGCACCGGCUAACUUCGUG